RNAcentral lists this unclassified non-coding RNA (22 nucleotides) under Mus musculus (house mouse). Its description in RNAcentral is "oocyte_clustered_small_RNA14310". The record is from RNAcentral. Lineage: Eukaryota; Metazoa; Chordata; Mammalia; Rodentia; Muridae.
UCUGCUGGAGUUUCCUUAUUGC